GGAUAACAGGUUGAUAUUCCUGUACCACCUAUAAUCGUUUUAAUCGAUGGGGGGACGCAGUAGGAUAGGCGAAGCGUGCGAUUGGAUUGCACGUCUAAGCAGUAAGGCUGAGUAUUAGGCAAAUCCGGUACUCGUUAAGGCUGAGCUGUGAUGGGGAGAAGACAUUGUGUCUUCGAGUCGUUGAUUUCACACUGCCGAGAAAAGCCUCUAGAUAGAAAAUAGGUGCCCGUACCGCAAACCGACACAGGUAGUCAAGAUGAGAAUUCUAAGGUGAGCGAGCGAACUCUCGUUAAGGAACUCGGCAAAAUGACCCCGUAACUUCGGGAGAAGGGGUGCUCUUUAGGGUUAACGCCCAGAAGAGCCGCAGUGAAUAGGCCCAAGCGACUGUUUAUCAAAAACACAGGUCUCUGCUAAACCGUAAGGUGAUGUAUAGGGGCUGACGCCUGCCCGGUGCUGGAAGGUUAAGAGGAGUGGUUAGCUUCUGCGAAGCUACGAAUCGAAGCCCCAGUAAACGGCGGCCGUAACUAUAACGGUCCUAAGGUAGCGAAAUUCCUUGUCGGGUAAGUUCCGACCCGCACGAAAGGCGUAACGAUUUGGGCACUGUCUCAACGAGAGACUCGGUGAAAUCAUAGUACCUGUGAAGAUGCAGGUUACCCGCGACAGGACGGAAAGACCCCGUGGAGCUUUACUGUAGCCUGAUAUUGAAAUUCGGCACAGCUUGUACAGGAUAGGUAGGAGCCUUUGAAACGUGAGCGCUAGCUUACGUGGAGGCGCUGGUGGGAUACUACCCUAGUUGUGUUGGCUUUCUAACCCGCACCACUUAUCGUGGUGGGAGACAGUGUCAGGCGGGCAGUUUGACUGGGGCGGUCGCCUCCUAAAAGGUAACGGAGGCGCUCAAAGGUUCCCUCAGAAUGGUUGGAAAUCAUUCAUAGAGUGUAAAGGCAUAAGGGAGCUUGACUGCGAGACCUACAAGUCGAGCAGGGUCGAAAGACGGACUUAGUGAUCCGGUGGUUCCGCAUGGAAGGGCCAUCGCUCAACGGAUAAAAGCUACCCCGGGGAUAACAGGCUUAUCUCCCCCAAGAGUUCACAUCGACGGGGAGGUUUGGCACCUCGAUGUCGGCUCAUCGCAUCCUGGGGCUGUAGUCGGUCCCAAGGGUUGGGCUGUUCGCCCAUUAAAGCGGUACGCGAGCUGGGUUCAGAACGUCGUGAGACAGUUCGGUCCCUAUCCGUCGUGGGCGUAGGAAAUUUGAGAGGAGCUGUCCUUAGUACGAGAGGACCGGGAUGGACAUACCUCUGGUGUACCAGUUGUCGUGCCAACGGCAUAGCUGGGUAGCUAUGUGUGGACGGGAUAAGUGCUGAAAGCAUCUAAGCAUGAAGCCCCCCUCAAGAUGAGAUUUCCCAACUUCGGUUAUAAGAUCCCUCAAAGAUGAUGAGGUUAAUAGGUUCGAGGUGGAAGCAUGGUGACAUGUGGAGCUGACGAAUACUAAUCGAUCGAAGACUUAAUCAA
This 1507-nucleotide ribosomal RNA is filed under the name Staphylococcus aureus. Its description in RNAcentral is "partial 23S ribosomal RNA". It matches the Rfam family "Bacterial large subunit ribosomal RNA", at positions 1420 to 2925 of the family's 2925-position model. The record is from RNAcentral. Lineage: Bacteria; Bacillati; Bacillota; Bacilli; Caryophanales; Staphylococcaceae.